RNAcentral lists this ribosomal RNA (447 nucleotides) under uncultured bacterium. Its description in RNAcentral is "bacterial SSU rRNA". It matches the Rfam family "Bacterial small subunit ribosomal RNA", at positions 355 to 825 of the family's 1533-position model. The record is from RNAcentral.
UCGGGAAUUUUGGGCAAUGGGCGAAAGCCUGACCCAGCAACGCCGCGUGAAGGAUGAAGUAUUUCGGUAUGUAAACUUCGAAAGAAUAGGAAGAAUAAAUGACGGUACUAUUUAUAAGGUCCGGCUAACUACGUGCCAGCAGCCGCGGUAAUACGUAGGGACCAAGCGUUGUUCGGAUUUACUGGGCGUAAAGGGCGCGUAGGCGGCUUGACAAGUCACUUGUGAAAUCUCUGGGCUUAACCCAGAACGGCCAAGUGAAACUGUCAUGCUAGAGUGCAGAAGGGGCAAUCGGAAUUCUUGGUGUAGCGGUGAAAUGCGUAGAUAUCAAGAGGAACACCUGAGGUGAAGACGGGUUGCUGGGCUGACACUGACGCUGAGGCGCGAAAGCCAGGGGAGCAAACGGGAUUAGAUACCCUUGUAGUCCCUGAGCGGGCUGGCAAGGCGCAU